RNAcentral lists this transfer RNA (69 nucleotides) under Rattus norvegicus (Norway rat). It matches the Rfam family "tRNA". Rfam says of the family: Transfer RNA (tRNA) molecules are approximately 80 nucleotides in length. The record is from Rfam by way of RNAcentral. Lineage: Eukaryota; Metazoa; Chordata; Mammalia; Rodentia; Muridae.
AGGGAUUUAGCUCAGUGGUAGAGCGCUUGCCUAGCAAGCGCAAGGCUCUGGGUUCGGUCCCCAGCUCUG